Molecule: long non-coding RNA, 1611 nt
Organism: Nerophis ophidion (straightnose pipefish)
Lineage: Eukaryota; Metazoa; Chordata; Actinopteri; Syngnathiformes; Syngnathidae
Exons: 2
Source: RefSeq, a predicted model, not a curated record
GGCAGCAAUCAAGGGAACAGCAUCAAAUCCAGUCACUCUAGUAUUGCCUCCCUCGAUCCUCGAUCACUCGCCUGGACUCGGACCUUGUUUGCUUGCCGCCUGCCCUCGACUCCCUACCUGUCCCCGGAUCUUCCUUGUGCCUAAUCCUCCUUGGGGCGGCAUAGCUCGGUUGGUAGAGUGACCGUGUCAGCAACUUGAGAGUUGCAGGUUCGAUUCCCGCUUGUGCCAUCCUAGUUACUGCCGUUCUGUCCUUGGGCAAGACACUUUACCCACCUGCUUCCAGUGCCACCCACACUGGUUUAAAUGUAACUUAGAUAUUGGGUGUCACUAUGUAAAGCGCUUUGAGUCACUAGAGAAAAGCGCUAUAUAAAUAUAAUUCACUUCACUUCACUUCGCUUGUCCUGACAAAAGUUUCAUUCAACACGCAUGCACAACAUCCUCUUGUUUCAUUCACAUGGUUAACUUCACACUUAAUCCUGCAACCAAUACUAAGAGUAGCAUACACAUCCCACACAAUCAUCAUAGGUUACAAUAAACCUGGUAACCUCACGUCUUUCGUGGUGUCGUCUCCUUCCAGUCUUCACGUACAAAACAGUACGUUCCGGCCAACCAUGUCGGAACCAGACGACACCCCCCCAGUCGAGACUCGCUCCCCAGACUCGGAGCCCACGAAGCCCGGACUUGGAGGUAAUGUGCUCUGUUCUUAAGACACAUCAGACUCGUUUUGAAGCGCUCGAGGAAAAUGUACAAGACGCCUUCGCCAAGUUGUAUAAUAAGUUGGACCAGUUAGGCCCCAGACCUUCUCAAGACUUGGUAACAGGACAGCAUGCUACACCAGCUACUAGCUCAGCUAGCGCUUCUCUUAGCCGGGAGCCCAAGAUUGCUAGUCCUAGCACUUUUAAGGGUAAUUUCGAACUAUGUAGGGGUUUUUUGGUGCAGUGCGAGUUAAUUUUUUUGCACCAACCCUCACGCUACGUUACUGAUGGGGAAAAAAUAGCAUUUAUUUUUUCGCUGCUUACCGGACCCGCUCUCAAGUGGGCUACUGCAGCUUUGGACAAGUCACUAGGCCUUGGCACCGACUACUCAGCUUUUCGGUCCAAAUUUUUGGCCGUGUUUGACCACCCCAAGGAUGGGGGUAAUGCCGCAGGACGUCUGCACACCAUCCAACAAGGAACUCGCUCAGUGGCAGCUUGCACCCUCGAGUUUCGGACCAUUGCGGCAGAGAGCGGCUGGAACUAAAGCGCUCCAAAGUGCGUUUCGUCAGGGACUCUCUGAGGAAAUUAAGGACAGUCUGCUGAGGGAUAGACCAACCUCUUGCAGAGCCCUCAUCGACUUGGCCCUUCAGUACGACCAGAGACUAGUUGAGCGAGCAACCGAGAGAUCCCGGAGCGUCCCCAGAAGAAACCAGACCACGACUCCUUCUUCCGUCUUCCAGCCAUUUGGAGGACAACCGAACCCAUUACCAGUUGCGGUUCCUACGCCCGAAACCAUGCAAGUGGGUAGAACCCGUUUGGGGACGGAGGAGAGGGAGAGAAGGAUGAGGCAACGUCUCUGUCUGUACUGUGGGGGCGCAGGACACAUUAUCUGCUACUGUCCGUCCCUGGAAAAAGA